GAGCGCGUAGGCGGGAUAGUCAGUCAGGUGUGAAAUCCUAUGGCUUACCCAUAGAACUGCAUUUGAAACUACUAUUCUAGAGUGUGGGAGAGGUAGGUGGAAUUCUUGGUGUAGGGGUAAAAUCCGUAGAGAUCAAGAGGAAUACUCAUUGCGAAGGCGACCUGCUGGAACAUUACUGACGCUGAUUGCGCGAAAGCGUGGGGAGCAAACAGGAUUAGAUACCCUGGUAGUCCACGCCCUAAACGAUGGAUGCUAGUUGUUGGAGGGCUUAGUCUCUCCAGUAAUGCAGCUAACGCAUUAAGCAUCCCGCCUGGGGAGUACGGUCGCAAGAUUAAAACUCAAAGGAAUAGACGGGGACCCGCACAAGCGGUGGAGCAUGUGGUUUAAUUCGAAGAUACACGAAGAACCUUACCUAGGCUUGACAUUGAGAGAAUCCGCUAGAAAUAGUGGAGUGUCUAGCUUGCUAGACCUUAAAAACAGGUGCUGCACGGCUGUCGUCAGCUCGUGUCGUGAGAUGUUGGGUUAAGUCCCGCAACGAGCGCAACCCCCUUUCUUAGUUGCUAACAGGUUAUGCUGAGAACUCUAAGGAUACUGCCUCCGUAAGGAGGAGGAAGGUGGGGACGACGUCAAGUCAUCAUGGCCCUUACGCCUAGGGCUACACACGUGCUACAAUGGGGUGCACAAAGAGAAGCAAUACUGCGAAGUGGAGCCAAUCUUCAAAACACCUCUCAGUUCGGAUUGUAGGCUGCAACUC
RNAcentral lists this ribosomal RNA (754 nucleotides) under Helicobacter pylori. Its description in RNAcentral is "bacterial SSU rRNA". It matches the Rfam family "Bacterial small subunit ribosomal RNA", at positions 565 to 1313 of the family's 1533-position model. The record is from RNAcentral. Lineage: Bacteria; Pseudomonadati; Campylobacterota; Epsilonproteobacteria; Campylobacterales; Helicobacteraceae.